Molecule: non-coding RNA, 92 nt
Organism: Armillaria novae-zelandiae
Lineage: Eukaryota; Fungi; Basidiomycota; Agaricomycetes; Agaricales; Physalacriaceae
Source: the annotation of a GenBank genome assembly
UCGGAUAUGGUGUAACGGCUAACAUUGCCGCCUCUCAUUAACCAAGCAUUAGGAUAGCGCGGCAGCUCGGGGUUCGAUUUCCCGUAUCCGAA